RNAcentral lists this long non-coding RNA (933 nucleotides) under Chinchilla lanigera (long-tailed chinchilla). RNAcentral describes it as "lncRNA (ENSCLAG00000022745.1)". The record is from RNAcentral. Lineage: Eukaryota; Metazoa; Chordata; Mammalia; Rodentia; Chinchillidae.
UGACCUCUCACAGCUCCUUGAAGGCUGAGGCCACAUGGGAUUCAUUUUGUUCUGCUUCAACCUACCUAGGCCUCCUCUGGCAGAGCAGGGGCACAGUGAGAAUAUGUGGGUGAAAUGAGGCCUUUGGGUCUCACCGUCCUGCAGCACUGCUCACCGAAGGCCAAAGGGCUGGUGGCUGCAACAUAGUCUUGAGAUGCAUCUCUGCCUUUCCACAGGUGAGUCUCCCAGAGGACUGGGAGACACAUCCAGAAAAGGCCUGAAAGCCAAAUAAGUCAUGUUGAGGUCAUCAGGGGAGUGGAGGAUGCAAACCAUUUAUGAUCCGCAAGGUCCAGCCCAGCUCAUGCUCUGGUUCAUUCUCAGCCUCUUCCACUACAAACAUGAGAAAAUCCAGAAAGGAGGCUUUCAUCCAACCUCCCUGUGCUCCAAACAAGAACACUCUUCAUACCUGCCUGGCAAAGAGCUUGUGACCUACUCCCUCUCCGACUCAGGCGUCCUUGAUGGUGCUGGGAAUCAGGAAGUCACAUUUUUGAGUAUGAGAUUAUUUGAAGGAACAAGGAAACUUCUCAGCCUUUCUGGAGCCCUGUGCCAGGGGAGUCAUGCUGCCUUCCACGGGUGCUGUCCAGCCUCAUUGUAACUGCAUCACUUCAAGACGCGUGAAGAGCCAGGGUCCUUGGGUUCCUGCUCUGCCUUCAUCCAUCCCACACUCCCUCAGGAGCCAGGAGGCUGCCUUAGGAGGGUGAUCCUGAUCCAGGCCCCAGUGGCUCUAUGGUUCCACCUGCUGGGGAACCCUUGAGAGCUCAUCUGACCUCUUGCCACAGUGCAACACGACCCUGCAGAGGCAUCUCAAGCCAGUCAUCUCCUCACAGUGACAGUCCCUCCAUCUCCUUUCUGCCCAGCACCCUAGACCCCAGGUCCCUCCCUCAGCCUCUUACU